CAGUCGCCGCGGGAAUACGUAGGUGGCAGGCGUUGUCCGGAAUUGUUGGGCGUAAAGCGCGCGCAGGCGGAUAGGUCAGUCUGUCUUAAAAGUUCGGGGCUUAACCCCGUGAUGGGAUGGAAACUGCCAAUCUAGAGUAUCGGAGAGGAAAGUGGAAUUCCUAGUGUAGCGGUGAAAUGCGUAGAUAUUGGGAGGAACACCAGUGGCGAAGGCGGCUUUCUGGACUGCAACUGACGCUGAGGCUCGAAAGCCAGGGGAGCGAACGGGAUUAGAUACCCCUGUAGUCCCUGUCUCUUAUACC
This 301-nucleotide ribosomal RNA is filed under the name uncultured bacterium. RNAcentral's name for it is "partial 16S ribosomal RNA". It matches the Rfam family "Bacterial small subunit ribosomal RNA", at positions 509 to 808 of the family's 1533-position model. The record is from RNAcentral.